Molecule: long non-coding RNA, 2544 nt
Organism: Triticum aestivum (bread wheat)
Lineage: Eukaryota; Viridiplantae; Streptophyta; Magnoliopsida; Poales; Poaceae
Exons: 4
Source: RefSeq, a predicted model, not a curated record
CCGCCCUCGCCGCCACCUCCUCCUCCCCGUCCCCGGCCCCUCCCGAUCCACCUCCUCCCCGUCCUCUCCCACCCACCGCCGACCUCGUCGUCCUCCUCACCGAGACACCGACGCCGACCUCGUCCCUCCCCCCCUACCCUAGCGUCGUGCCCUCCCCGCCAGCGGGAGAUGGCGACAUGCGGGAGACGGCCAAGACGGCAGCCUGGAGCGUUUGCUCCUGCAAGCCCAGCAACGGCGUCGCCUCCCUCCGUGAUGACAGCCUCGACACGUACUGAUAGAACCCCUUUGAGCGAGGCUGUAGAAUGGUGUGCUGAGACGCUUCUUCUCGUGUUUGGCCACAAUGAGACGGCUCAGAUCUGACCGAUCUGGCCGCUCCUCUUACUCAGCCGGCACCCGCUUCUCUAAUGGACGGGUUCGUCGCAGGACCUGACCUGUUCGUCAAGGAGGAGAUGGGACUCGGCAAGGCACGCUCCAUCAACACCAAGAGCAAGAGGAGACCCCUUCAUGGCCGGCCCUCAAGCAAAGCAAAGAUCAAAAUCCAGUCAGUGAAGUUAACAAGGAAGUAUCUGAGAAGGGUUUCCUCCGAGCUCAAGGCCACACAAGCAUUACCUGGCAGUAUGCUUCAGGCAUGCGUUUCUUGUGGACAAGAUUGAACGCUUCGAGACGGCCGUCAGCAAACGCGCCGUAGAGAUGGCCAUGGGUACAUACAGGUUAAUUCUGCAGCUCCGGCGCCCUGAUGGCUGGGAUUCUAGUGUUUUCUGUUUUGAUGCUGUGAGCCCCGCCAUGAUUGGUUCUGUUGCAGGAUUUGGUUCGAUUGAGAUUUGUUUAGGUCGUGUGGAUUAGGUCGUAUAAUUCUAGCACUGUGUACUAGUAGAGAUUUAAUCUAAUGACGACGGGACAUGCUCUCUUUUCUUUAUGAUGUGUUAAUAGGAUACCGUAAACGUCGGCUGCCGACAAUCAUAUCAUAGUCUCAGUCAGUUCAUUUUCUCUGUGGGGAAUGAAUUCUUAGCUGCUGCAAGUUUGGCAAAUAGACACCGUACUCGUUUUUCUGUGUAAACAUAGUUAGCACCUCUGUUUUUGAAGUAGUUCCUUACUUACCUCUGUUUUUGAAGUAGUUCCUUACUUACCUCUGUGUAAACUGAAUUUGGUUAAGUUAAAAAAACUGCUUAUUUGACAGUUUUGGGCAGCGAGCUUCUAACUGAAAAACGAGUUUGUUAUGCUCAUAAUUUCAAGUUGGCCUGUACAUAUGAGUUGUAAAGCAUGUUCUAAAGUUCCCGUAGAGUACUUAUUUGCUUCGUUUGGAUGUAUGGUUUGAGAGCAGCCAUCUAUUUUAGUUUUCUGUCCAGAAAUAUAGUAGAGUUUUUCUGUGUAAACAUAGUUAGCACCUCUGUUUAUGAAGUAGUUCCUUACUUACAUCUGUUUUUGAAGUAGUUCCUUACCUCUGUGUAAACUGAAUUUGGUUCAGUUAAAAAACUGCACCACCUGACAGUUUUGGGCAGCGAGCUUCUAACUGAAAAACGAGUUCGUUAUGCUCAUAAUUUCAAGUUGGCCUCUACAUAUGAGUUGUAAAGCAUGUUAUAAGGUUUCCGUAGAGUACUUAUUUGCUUCGUUUGGAUGUACGGUUUGAGAGCAGCCGUCUAUUUAGUUUGCUGUCCAGAAAUAUAGUAUAGUUUGUAAAAGCAACCAAUUCAUGGUAAGAGCUACUUGGUGAGGCUGAUGCACAUAGCUACUUUCAGUACCUUGUUAACAGUGUUGAGGACAAGCUAAAUCCUAUAUCAUGGUCCUGUUCUUGUAAACAUUGUGUAAAGCUAAAAUUCUUCUGUGUCUUGCUCUUUUGCUGGUGCCACUAUACAUGUUAGAUUCGUAGAUGUACUUGUUUCCAUCUCAAGUUACUUGGGUGUCAUUCAUAUGUACAUAAGAUAAUCUUAUUGCAAAAAGAUCUUCUAUAUAAAUUCUGUUGGCUAAAGAAAUUUUGUGGCAGCUAGGAUUUUGAAUUGUACUUAGUUAUGUGAUUUACCCAUGUUCGUGCUAAUUGGCCAAUACAUGCUUUUCUGUUACUUUUAAUAUUUCCAGAACAGUUUGCUUGGUCCUUCAUAUCUAAAGCUUGCAUGUACUGUAGAAGCUCUACUUUAUGCUAAUACCUGCAUGUGUAACAUUUUUCAUGGCAUACUUCUAAAUGGACAAGUACAUGCGACGUCCAGCGUCAACGAUGAUGCGGACCAUAUGCUCAAGUGCAGCCCCAUCCAUCGCAUCGACACAAAGUAAGAUGUUUUGCAUCAGCCUAUCAUUGCUAAGGAAGAAGCAGUACUGGAAGAAACUACAUGUUUUCUUGUUGUGAAGCACUAGAUAGUUCUAUUUAUUCUUUCAUGUUCUAGAGUAUUUCAGCAGCUGAAAUGCUUGAAUACGUAAUGUUGUAGGUUGCUUGGAUCUGUAUAAAAUACGGAUGUGAUGGAAAUUUGUAGAAUGUGAGUUUUGAGAUAUUUCUGUAAUAUUCAGCUAAUUGGUGGUGAUUCACAUUGUUAUUCAAUCUGGUUUGAAAAUGUU